Portunus trituberculatus (swimming crab) is the source of this 1063-nucleotide long non-coding RNA. RefSeq lists it as uncharacterized. Lineage: Eukaryota; Metazoa; Arthropoda; Malacostraca; Decapoda; Portunidae. The record is from RefSeq and is a predicted model, not a curated record. The transcript is spliced from 2 exons.
GAAAGCAGUGCCUGCUGGACUCGAGACAGUGGAGAGCCUGCCACCAACACAGGACUGUCUCAAUUCUCAACAUUGUCGCUUGAUGAUGGAGCAGCCUCAGCUAUAAUUCCUGGAGGAUGGGCGCCCCACAGGUGCACACCUGCAAGUAUUCUUGACGGAUGCGGUGGGUGACGGAGUUAUCCUUGACUGACACCCUGAUCUGCCCCGCCCUGCCCUGCCCUGCCCUGCCCAUCAUGUUGAACGUGUGUGCAACUAAUACAUCUCAGGUCAUGAGCAGAGAAUGUUAAGGAGCAGCAGUGGCUCCUGAAUAAUUCCACCAUCACCUCCUGGAUACAGAAAUACAACUUCUCAAGCAGUCCUACCUGCCAUCGUGCGGUGUCUGUCCUGCCUGAGAUACUUGAUGGUGUUGACGAAAAAUGCACACUCAUGACGUGUUUGUUCGAAUUGCUGCUCUUGCAUUAUAAAGGCAACGAAGAAAAUGUGCGGAACAUACCAUGCAAAUUAGUGCUUUCCUCGGAGAACUAGUGCGUAGAGCAUCAGGGAAAACACGGGUGGUAUCGUAGACAAGAUUUUAUGAAAGUUGAUGAUAAGGAAUUAUGUCAGGGGCUUCUCAUACACUGUACUGAAGGAAGGUCGUGUACAUAGCGGCCACUGUUAGAUAAUCCACAAAACGAGGAUCAGUGGUCGUGAAUUCUCAAAUGUUUCUUUGUCUUAUCUCGACUUUGUUCUAACAGACUCUGUAGAUAUUGCUGGUGUUUUCAAGAACAUUUUCAUGACUAGUGAUAGUUUAACAAGAUAUCGGUGUAUUACCAAUGGAGAAAACACCAAUGACAAGGUGGCCAGUCAUCUCUGUGGCCAUUGAAAAUAGUCCUUGUGAGAACCAAAGGCAUUGCAAAAUACGGAUCCAGACUAAAAACUCGGUGUUAUCUCGAUGCGUUAGUCUGUAACCCUCUCUCUUUAAACCAUUCAAUACCAUGACGCGUUUACAUAUUCAUUCUGCUUACUAUUUAGUGAUUUUAUACAGCUUCAGAAACUUGUGUGGGAAUUAAAAUAGUGAAGACUC